AGAGUUUGAUCAUGGCUCAGAAUCAACGCUGGCGGCGUGCCUAACACAUGCAAGUCGAACGCGGUUACCCCGCAAGGGGUAACUGAGUGGCGAACGGGUGAGUAACGCGUGGGUGACCUACCUCUGAGUGGGGGAUAACGUCCCGAAAGGGACGCUAAUACCGCAUAACAUCCUGUCCUUGAACGGAUGGAGAUCAAAGCCGGGGAUCGCAAGACCUGGCGCUUGGUGAGGGGCCCGCGUCCGAUUAGCUAGUUGGUGAGGUAACGGCCCACCAAGGCUUCGAUCGGUAGCCGGCCUGAGAGGGCGGACGGCCACACUGGGACUGAGACACGGCCCAGACUCCUACGGGAGGCAGCAGUGGGGAAUUGUUNNNNNUGGGGCAAGCCUGACGACGCAACGCCGCGUGGAGGACGAAGGUCUUCGGAUUGUAAACUCCUGUUGCUCGGGAAGAAAAGCUCCGACCUAACACGUCGGAGUCUGACGGUACCGGGUGAGGAAGCCCCGGCUAACUCUGUGCCAGCAGCCGCGGUAAUACAGAGGGGGCAAGCGUUGUUCGGAAUUACUGGGCGUAAAGGGCGCGUAGGCGGCCUGUUAAGUCGAACGUGAAAUCCCCAGGCUCAACCUGGGAACUGCGUCCGAUACUGGCAGGCUUGAAUCCGGGAGAGGGAUGCGGAAUUCCAGGUGUAGCGGUGAAAUGCGUAGAUAUCUGGAGGAACACCGGUGGCGAAGGCGGCAUCCUGGACCGGUAUUGACGCUGAGGCGCGAAAGCCAGGGGAGCAAACGGGAUUAGAUACCCUAGUAGUCC
RNAcentral lists this ribosomal RNA (805 nucleotides) under uncultured bacterium. Its description in RNAcentral is "bacterial SSU rRNA". It matches the Rfam family "Bacterial small subunit ribosomal RNA", at positions 8 to 796 of the family's 1533-position model. The record is from RNAcentral.